Non-coding RNA from Pelobates cultripes (western spadefoot toad), 94 nucleotides. The record is from the annotation of a GenBank genome assembly. Lineage: Eukaryota; Metazoa; Chordata; Amphibia; Anura; Pelobatidae.
UGAAGUGUUCUUGCAUAGCAAGACCACUUAAUGUUAUCUCACAUAUAUAUUAUUAUUAAGUGGUCUUGCUAUGCAAGAACACUUAAUAAUAAAU